This 497-nucleotide ribosomal RNA is filed under the name uncultured bacterium. Its description in RNAcentral is "partial 16S ribosomal RNA". It matches the Rfam family "Bacterial small subunit ribosomal RNA", at positions 28 to 507 of the family's 1533-position model. The record is from RNAcentral.
GAUGAACGCUGGCGGCGUGCCUAAUACAUGCAAGUCGAGCGAACGGACGAGAAGCUUGCUUCUCUGAUGUUAGCGGCGGACAGGUGAGUAACACGUGGAUAACCUACCUAUAUUACUUGGAUAACUUCGGGAAACCGGAGCUAAUACCGGAUCAUAUUUUGAACCGCAUGGUUCAAAAGUGAAAGACGGUCUUGCUGUCACUUAUAGAUGAAUCCGCGCUGCAUUAGCUAGUUGGUAAGGUAACGGCUUACCAAGGCAACGAUGCAUAGCCGACCUGAGAGGAUGAUCGGCCACACUGGAACUGAGACACGGUCCAGACUCCUACGGGAGGCAGCAGUAGGGAAUAUUCGGCAAUGGGCGAAAGCCUGACGGAGCAAUGCCGCGUGAGUGAUGAAGGUCUUCGGAUCGUAAAACUCUGUUAUUAGGGAAGAAAAGAUGUGGAAGUAACUGUGGACAUCUUGACGGUACCUAAUCAGAAAGCAACGGCUAACUACGUG